CUCCUUUGUGUGCCCACCCAAAAUCCCAUCUCCCAGGUCUCCACAUCCCCUCUUCUCUACUGGUUGGGGACUUGAAGAAUGAUAUUUUUAGAUCUAGAAUGGAAGAUUUCAGAUCUCGUAUCGACAUGGUGUAGGGAGAGGAAGAACAAGGUGAAGACGGGUAAAGGCUACAGUUUUGCAGAAGACUGCAGAGUCUCUCUCUCUUGUGUGGUACAACUCCAGUUGUUGGAUGCUCCAAUAUUUUAAUUUCUAGGAAGAUGAUCGGGUAAUCUCUUGGGAAGGUUUGGGCUCUGAUUUGGUUCAGAUCAGAGGUGUGUAGGGGCCA
Molecule: long non-coding RNA, 325 nt
Filed under: Elaeis guineensis (African oil palm)
Lineage: Eukaryota; Viridiplantae; Streptophyta; Magnoliopsida; Arecales; Arecaceae
Description: long non-coding RNA (EGUI_LNC029432)
Source: RNAcentral